RNAcentral lists this ribosomal RNA (178 nucleotides) under uncultured anaerobic bacterium. RNAcentral's name for it is "partial 16S ribosomal RNA". It matches the Rfam family "Bacterial small subunit ribosomal RNA", at positions 350 to 528 of the family's 1533-position model. The record is from RNAcentral.
AGCAGUGGGGAAUUUUGCACAAUGGGCGCAAGCCUGAUGCAGCGACGCCGCGUGAGGGAUGAAGGCCUUCGGGUUGUAAACCUUUUUCGCUCAUGGUCAAGCCGCAGCUUUGGGUUGUGGUGAGGGUAGCGGGUAAAGAAGCGCGGCUAACUACAUGCCAGCAGCCGCGGUAAUACGU